Carassius gibelio (silver crucian carp) is the source of this 1368-nucleotide long non-coding RNA. RefSeq lists it as uncharacterized. The record is from RefSeq and is a predicted model, not a curated record. NCBI's taxonomy places the organism in Eukaryota, Metazoa, Chordata, Actinopteri, Cypriniformes, Cyprinidae. The transcript has 3 exons.
UGAUUCUGCCCUCGUGUCCUUGAUUUUUCCUAGUCUUGAGGCAGGAUCAUGACAGACCCGUGUUUUGUGUACAAGCACAUGGCCUUGCCUUUGGGCCAUGUGCUUGUGUUGUCUCGUUCCCUUGCCCCGCCCCCCUUGUUAACCUAGUCGUGUCUUGAUUGUCCCAUCUGUGCCACCUGUCGUGUCUUGAUUGUUCCCCUAUUUAGCUUUCCUAGUGUGCUCUGUCUUGCGUCGGUUCAUUGUACCUCUGAUGAGAAUUGUUCCCUAAGAUUUGUCAUUGUGAUUGUACCUCAACGGUGUUCUACAAUUGUGAUUGUGUGUGAGAUUGUGCUGUACCCGCUGAAGUCCUUGUAUUACCUUCAGACAUCCCCCAACCCCAACACUCAUCAUGUGAGCUGCAGCUGUACAGAUCCAUUCAGCAUUGGGGGAGGUCAAUGGGAGAAGGGCCUCAGUCAGGAACAUGACCAAGAACCUGAUGGUCACUCCAGCGUUUCUCUGUGGAGAGAGGAGAACAUUCCAAGAACAACCAUUUCUGCAGCACUCCACCAAUCAGGCCUGAACGGUAGAGUAGUCAGACCCAAACCUACACUACAGUGAAAUAUGGUGGUGGCAGUGUCAUGCUGUGGGGAUGUUUUUCAGCGGCAGGGAGUGGGACACUGGUCAUGAUCGAGGGAAAGAUAAAAAUGCAGCAAUGUACAGAGACAUCCUUGAUAAAAACCUGCUACAGAGCACUCACGACCUCAGACUGGGGUGAAGGUUCAUCUUCCAACAGGACAAUGACUCUAAGCACACAGCCAAGAUAACAAAGGAGUGGCUACAGGCGACUCUGUGAAUGUCCUUGAGUGGCCGAGCCAGAGCCCAGACUUGAACCCAAUUGAACGGGGAAGAAUGGGAGAAAUUGCCCAAGGUGUGCCAAGCUUAUAGCAUCAUACUCAAAAAGACUUGAGGCUCUAAUUUGGUGCUAAAAAUGCUUCAACGAAGUAUUGAGCAAAGGCUGUGAAUACUUAUGUACAUGUUGUUGUUUGUUUUUGUUUGUUUCUUUAUUUUUUUAACUUUUGGUUUUAUAUAUAAAAAAAAAACUGAACAAAUAGUGUUAAAUGCUAUUUAAACGAAUUCUAAUUUUAAUAUUUACAUUUUACAUAAACUUUCUAAUUUGAAUAAACUAUAUAUACAACAAAAUAAACUUUACAUGAAAUAAAUCAAAAAUGGUUUGUGUUUCCUACAGGGCAGGGAAGGGAAGAGGUAUAUGUAAAAUGAAGACACAAGUUUCUAAGCAGUAGUACACAUCUAAAUGUUCGGUUGUUUUCAGGUCCAGAUAGAUUUCAGUUUACAGGGAUGCCUACACUGGAUGGCCAAUUUCACAUGCAA